Molecule: long non-coding RNA, 747 nt
Organism: Cyprinus carpio carpio
Lineage: Eukaryota; Metazoa; Chordata; Actinopteri; Cypriniformes; Cyprinidae
Source: Ensembl
GUGAUGUGCUGUUUCCUGCAAAGGAGCCAUUUUGUGAAGCACAUGUGAAGAUGGUGAGAAGGGGGGGUGAAGAAACGCAUUUCUGAAACGCAACGUGAUGUAGAUGCUGAAAAGAGACCAGCCCUGUGGAACAACAUAGAGAAGUUGUAAUUCUAUGCUUAAUUGUCUGCCUCUCUGAAAAUCCUGAGAAUCUCAUCAAGCACCAUCAGGAUACUCAUGGGAAUAAGGAGGAACUGGAACUGCUCACACUUAAAAUCAUCAAGAAAGGUGGCUCAACAGAUGAUCCAUUACAGACUGGGAUAGUGCUGGAAGGCAUAGAGGUGAUGACGAGAUUGGCAGGUGUUGCGAAGGCUUGUGUUUUUCUGCUUGGCCUAAUUUAAGCAAUUAAUCUGAGUUACCCCAAAGAGCUCAAUGAACAAUGUUUGUCUACAACUGUUUGAUUACAUUCUUGUUUUAUUCUUAGGAUGUUUUUUGGGUGUUCCAAAAGUAAAUGUUAGAAAGAUUGUUGCAAAGGGUGAAAAAAAAGUGACCUAUUAUAGACCUAUUGUGUCUUACAAACAAAACAAAAAGAAAAAGAAAAUGCUUUUCUGUACAAAAUUAAAUGCUGGAAUAAUGUAAAUCCUUUGAGAAGUGUUGCAAAGGGUUAAAAAUCAAGGAAUUAACUUGUUAGAAGUGAACUUCCAUUUGUAUAUUUGUCACAUUGUGUUGUACAUUCAUGAUGUGUUGUUUUAGGCUUCACCGUUGCUU